Leptonychotes weddellii (Weddell seal) is the source of this 104-nucleotide small nuclear RNA. The record is from RefSeq and is a predicted model, not a curated record. NCBI's taxonomy places the organism in Eukaryota, Metazoa, Chordata, Mammalia, Carnivora, Phocidae.
GUGCUCACUUUGGCAGCAUCUAUACUAAAAUGGGAAUGAUACAGAAAUUAGCACGGUCCAUAUAUAGAGGUGACAUGCAAAUUUGUGAAGCAUUCCAUAUUUCU